UUGAGGACCAACAAUGGUGGAUCUUUAAUUUUAAGUUGGAAUCUGAAUAUUAAUGAAUGUCUAAGCUCAAAAUAGGUCUAAUAAGAGGUUUUUAAUCUUAAACUAAAAGAUCAAACAUGUUUUAUGGAUCAAUUUUGAGAAAUUCGAAUUUGAUCAAGAACAUGGAUGAUUUUUUUGGAAAAUAAUGAAACGGAUUAAAUGAUGAAAUUAACACUUAGAAUACUUGUUAUUGGACUAGGAAUGAAGAUUAUUAGUGGUUUGAGGAGCUGAAAAGGGAGUUUAGUUGAGGAAUCUAUAUUUUAGGUUAGUUGUGCAACAUCAGUAAGGUAGUUUAGAGCAAUGAUUUAGAUUCGUAUACUUUAUCAAAUUUUGUGUUUCUUGAUGCUAUUGUUAGUUUGUAAUGCAUACUUUGUCUCUGUCCACAUCAAUAGGAGGAAUGUGCAAAUCAGGAUUGAAGCUCAAACUUGCUUAUUUAAGCACAUUUUUGCUUAAAGAGCUAAGUGUGGAGGUGUGUGAUAUUAAAGGCAAUUUGGUAAAUUGGCAUGAUUAUGUAUUAAAUUAAAGGUUUAGUUGGUGUUAUUAAUGACUUAAUUGCAUAUUGGAUGGUUGGAUUUGCAAAAAUAGGUUUUAUUUUGUAAAAGAGCAAAAUGGCAAUUGGUUUGGUAAGUUGUGCAUUAUACUUUUAGCAUGAUUAAAUUGUAUGGAAUAAAUUGAUAUUUGUAGAAUGAAUUGUUGAUUUAUUGAACAUUUGAUAAAUGUGUUCUAAUUGGUACAUGAAUAUUGAGAAAAUGAUAUUUGCUAUGCUUAAUUUUGUUGAUGUUAAAAUUGCUUAGCAACUUGCUUUUACUUGCAUUUUAACAAUCUAAAUUAAGUGAUUAAACAACAUAUUUUAUGCCUUGUAUGUAUGAUUAUAUUGGCAACAUUGCAUGGUGGAUUUAUUGGAUAUAGUUGGCAUGCCAUAGGAUAUGUGAGUACUAACCAUAUUUGUGAUAUUGUGAGCAUAUGUCUUUUGAUGGACUGAUUUGUUUAGAGUAGAUAAGGGAGUAUUGAACUUGAGUCUCCAUUCAUCGGGUUAUUUAUGGCACUAUAAGGGGGUGAGUGGCUUCGGCCCACUCAAUUCGAAGGACUGCAUUUGAUUUGUGAGAGUUUGGAGAUUCGUUUAUCCAAUGUAUGAUCACACGUUUACUUAUUUCCAUGGAUGUAUUAUGCCAAUAUAAUUGAUUGAUUGUGCCAAUAUAAUUGAAUGUUUAUGUGUUAAAAGAUGAUUUUACAUGCCAUGGAAAAAUUGCUUCUUAAUUCUUGAAAUAGCCAGUGAUGUUCUGGUGAAAUGUUAACAUGUCGUGACUGAAAAUUUAAUGCUUAAUUGCUUUGAUUUAUGCAUAAUUAGGUGCAAAUUACUUGAUGUUUUUACUAUCAUUCACUGAGCUUUUUAAGCUCACACCUUCACAUUUCAUGCAGAGAAAUUCUGGGUGUAAAGAGUCGAAAAGCUAGUGUAAGGGCAAUCCAAGAAUAAGGCUCGGUACUGGCUUAAGAAAUUUACUUUAGAGACUAUAUAGGGGUAUUGUGAUGCUUCUGGGACUAGUGUUAUUUUACUUGUAAUAGACAUUGUACAUUAAAUUUUGGAAUUUAAUUUUGGUGAUUUUAUAAUUACUUUAAUACAUGAUUUUAUGUCUAAUUGAUGUUUGAUUUAUGGUGUAUUGAUGAGUGUUCGUACAG
This 1716-nucleotide long non-coding RNA is filed under the name Gossypium barbadense (sea-island cotton). Its description in RNAcentral is "long non-coding RNA (GBAR_LNC006565)". Lineage: Eukaryota; Viridiplantae; Streptophyta; Magnoliopsida; Malvales; Malvaceae. The record is from RNAcentral.